CCUANGGGCGGCAGCAGUAGGGAAUAUUGCGCAAUGGACGAAAGUCUGACGCAGCAACGCCGCGUGUGGGAUGAAGUUUCUUGGAACGUAAACCACUGUCAGGAGGGACGAAAGGUCGCGGAUCUAAUAUAGCCGCGAUUUGACGGUACCUUCAGAGGAAGCUCCGGCUAACUCCGUGCCAGCAGCCGCGGUAAUACGGGGGGAGCAAGCGUUGUUCGGAAUCACUGGGCGUAAAGGGUGCGCAGGCGGGAGAUUAAGUUGGGUGUGAAAACCUCGGGCUCAACCCGGGGCCUGCACUCAAAACUGGUCUUCGUGAGUAUCGGAGAGGAAAGCGGAACUCCAGGUGUAGCGGUGAAAUGCGUAGAUAUCUGGAGGAACACCGGUGGCGAAGGCGGCUUUCUGGCCGAAUACUGACGCUCAUGCACGAAGGCUAGGGGAGCAAACAGGAUUAGAUACCCUUNUANUC
This 466-nucleotide ribosomal RNA is filed under the name uncultured bacterium. RNAcentral describes it as "bacterial SSU rRNA". It matches the Rfam family "Bacterial small subunit ribosomal RNA", at positions 338 to 795 of the family's 1533-position model. The record is from RNAcentral.